This 541-nucleotide ribosomal RNA is filed under the name Bifidobacterium bifidum. RNAcentral's name for it is "bacterial SSU rRNA". It matches the Rfam family "Bacterial small subunit ribosomal RNA", at positions 159 to 711 of the family's 1533-position model. Lineage: Bacteria; Bacillati; Actinomycetota; Actinomycetes; Bifidobacteriales; Bifidobacteriaceae. The record is from RNAcentral.
GGUGGUAAUGCCGGAUGUUCCACAUGAUCGCAUGUGAUUGUGGGAAAGAUUCUAUCGGCGUGGGAUGGGGUCGCGUCCUAUCAGCUUGUUGGUGAGGUAACGGCUCACCAAGGCUUCGACGGGUAGCCGGCCUGAGAGGGCGACCGGCCACAUUGGGACUGAGAUACGGCCCAGACUCCUACGGGAGGCAGCAGUGGGGAAUAUUGCACAAUGGGCGCAAGCCUGAUGCAGCGACGCCGCGUGAGGGAUGGAGGCCUUCGGGUUGUAAACCUCUUUUGUUUGGGAGCAAGCCUUCGGGUGAGUGUACCUUUCGAAUAAGCGCCGGCUAACUACGUGCCAGCAGCCGCGGUAAUACGUAGGGCGCAAGCGUUAUCCGGAUUUAUUGGGCGUAAAGGGCUCGUAGGCGGCUCGUCGCGUCCGGUGUGAAAGUCCAUCGCUUAACGGUGGAUCUGCGCCGGGUACGGGCGGGCUGGAGUGCGGUAGGGGAGACUGGAAUUCCCGGUGUAACGGUGGAAUGUGUAGAUAUCGGAAAAGAACACCA